UUUUGUUAUGUUGGUGUAUGUCUGAUUUAAUAUUAUUGCUUAAUGGUUAAAGUUUGUGUAUAUUUAUUUAAGUCAAGUCUAUGUGCUGCUUAUAAAAGUAUUCAUGCGUUACUUUAAUAAUAUGUUAGAUGAAAUAUUAAUUGAUUUAGGACUUAAUAGUAAUGUUUAAUUAGUUUGUAAAUGUGAAUAUAGUUUAGCUCAGGUACACACCGCCCGUCACCCUCGGUU
Molecule: ribosomal RNA, 228 nt
Filed under: Taenia crassiceps
Lineage: Eukaryota; Metazoa; Platyhelminthes; Cestoda; Cyclophyllidea; Taeniidae
Description: partial 12S ribosomal RNA
Source: RNAcentral